UACGGAGGGUGCAAGCGUUAUCCGGAUUCACUGGGUUUAAAGGGUGCGUAGGUGGGUUGGUAAGUCCGUGGUGAAAUCUCCGAGCUUAACUCGGAAACUGCCGUGGAUACUAUCAAUCUUGAAUACUGUGGAGGUAAGCGGAAUAUGUCAUGUAGCGGUGAAAUGCUUAGAUACGACAUAGAACACCGAUAGCGAAGGCAGCUUGCUACACAGUCAUUGACACUGAGGCACGAAAGCGUGGGGAGCAAACAGG
This 253-nucleotide ribosomal RNA is filed under the name uncultured bacterium. RNAcentral describes it as "partial 16S ribosomal RNA". It matches the Rfam family "Bacterial small subunit ribosomal RNA", at positions 524 to 776 of the family's 1533-position model. The record is from RNAcentral.